UACGUAGGUGGCAAGCGUUGUCCGGAUUUACUGGGCGUAAAGAGCGCGCAGGCGGUCGUUCAAGUCGCGUGUGAAAGCCCCCGGCUCAACUGGGGAGGGUCACGCGAUACUGAUCGACUCGAAGGCAGGAGAGGGUAGUGGAAUUCCCGGUGUAGUGGUGAAAUGCGUAGAUAUCGGGAGGAACACCAGUGGCGAAAGCGGCUCUCUGGCCCAUUCCUGACACUGAGAUGCGAAAGCCAGGGGAGAGAACGGG
Molecule: ribosomal RNA, 253 nt
Filed under: uncultured bacterium
Lineage: Bacteria
Description: partial 16S ribosomal RNA
Rfam family: Bacterial small subunit ribosomal RNA
Source: RNAcentral